Vicugna pacos (alpaca) is the source of this 428-nucleotide RNA transcript. It is a transcript of the gene named cytochrome c oxidase subunit 7C, mitochondrial pseudogene, with no coding region annotated. NCBI's taxonomy places the organism in Eukaryota, Metazoa, Chordata, Mammalia, Artiodactyla, Camelidae. The record is from RefSeq and is a predicted model, not a curated record.
UUUCGGUUAUCGCCCAGAGAGGAACAAGGUCGCGGGGAGAGGAGCUGUUGGUAUGCUGCCGCCAUUUCUUCCGCCUUCCGUCUCUGCGCCUUUCGCUGAGUUUCCAACAGCGCUAUGUUGGGACAGAGCAUUCGGAGGUUCACAACCUCUGUGGUCCGAAGAAUCCACUAUGAGGAGGGUCCAGGGAAGAAUUUACCAUUUUCAGUGGAAAAUAAGUGGCGGUUACUAGUUAUGAUGACUUUGUACUUUGGUUCUGGAUUUGUUGCACCUUUCUUUAUAGUAAGACAUCAACUGCUUAAAAAAUAAUCCAGGAAACAGAUAGGAAGAGGAGCAUUUUAAGAGGUGCAAUCUCUGAAAAAAUAAAAGGAUCAAACUCUUGGAACUCAACAUACUAGAUAUGUUUGUAAAUAAACUAAUGGCAUAAAAAA